GGUAGCGUGGCCGAGGUGCUAAUGUGCUGGAUUUAGGCUCCAGUCUCUUCGGCGGUGUGGGUUUGAAUCCCACCACUGCCA
Molecule: transfer RNA, 81 nt
Filed under: Danio rerio (zebrafish)
Lineage: Eukaryota; Metazoa; Chordata; Actinopteri; Cypriniformes; Danionidae
Rfam family: tRNA
About the family: Transfer RNA (tRNA) molecules are approximately 80 nucleotides in length.
Source: Rfam by way of RNAcentral